This 422-nucleotide long non-coding RNA is filed under the name Heterocephalus glaber (naked mole-rat). Its description in RNAcentral is "lncRNA (ENSHGLG00000033887.1)". Lineage: Eukaryota; Metazoa; Chordata; Mammalia; Rodentia; Bathyergidae. The record is from RNAcentral.
CUGGCCGUGCACAGCCAGCAGGGUGGCUUUUUCAUCAAAUAGAUUCAAGAGCAACCUGUACUUCUGCAUCCCAAAAGGCUCCAGAUGUGACCAGCCACUGCAAAAUGAGAGCGGCAGGAGAAGGAAGACCCUCGUGACCACGCGUCAGAAGCAGAAAAGCUGAGGAAGCUGCAGUGCCAGCGCAGAAGAUGUGGGAAGAAAUAUCUACAAACAUUGGAGAUUUCCAUUCGCUUCUUUCUGACCCUUGUAGUUUCUUGACCCUAUAGUUCUGAAUCUGAGCUUGGGCCUCGCCUAGGAAGAGCCUCUGCAAACAAAGCCAAGGGUUUGCAGGCCUGCUGUCCCCUUCUUGAGCACUGGGGAGCCCUUGAGUACCGUGGAGGGAGUGAGGCUCCCGAUGGUUGGCACCAGCCGCCUGAUGUGGC